Hydractinia symbiolongicarpus is the source of this 1479-nucleotide long non-coding RNA. RefSeq lists it as uncharacterized. NCBI's taxonomy places the organism in Eukaryota, Metazoa, Cnidaria, Hydrozoa, Anthoathecata, Hydractiniidae. The record is from RefSeq and is a predicted model, not a curated record. The transcript is spliced from 3 exons.
UCUGAACUGUCGCCGGAGGCGGACGGUUUCUAUAUGUUACUUUAUCGCGCGUUCCCGAAAACACACAGGGACUGUGCGCUUUUUUUGUGGUCAACAUUUUGUAAGUAACAGUCCUCAAAACAACAAAGCAACUGAUUAAAAGACAUGAUCAUAUAUAUUAUCUUGCAAUAAAUUAUUUCGCAGUUGAAUCUCAUAAACCGUGAUGGAAAUUGAACAAUCCUCUGAAGUUUGUAUACCUGUUGCCUUCAUCGUAUAUAUCUUGAAAUGCUGAUCAAGAAAAUGUAUAUGAUCAUGUAUCUUUAACAAACGGUUGCAGAGAUAUCAAGGUUUAAAGGUUUUUUGAUGACGUCAUCAAACCGUCAAUUCCGAAACGGAUUCGGGGACCCAGAUUUGGAAAACUUCCCCAAAUUGGUCCCAGGUUGUCCCUAGUUACCCACGCGGUGAAAAAACAUUGACGUCACCACCUCGUUUCCAAGUUAUUUGGCCUCAAAGUUUUAAGUGCAUUGUAAUGGCUUCACUAAUCUUAAUUAACUUUCCUUUGACGUCAAUACUAUUUUAUCGGUAAAGUUUGGUAAAUUACAGAACAAUUUUAUAGGCAAUGUUUUAUAGAAUUUGUUAAAGAAAGUUUUGAAGAAUGUAAUCCGCUUUGCAAAAGUGACAGACAGACACACGGAACUGGCGUAUUAUUAUAUAGACUAGUCGAUAAGGCCCGUGGAAAAAUCCACUUAGGCAGGAUAACAGAGAAAAACAACCGUCAUUAAAAUUUUGAUGACGUCAGCAGAGACAUGUCAGAACACAAAAUGUUUUUUUUUCAGAAAUGUGCAUGCCUGUUGCUUUCAUCGUAUAGAUCUUGAAACGCUGAGCAAGAAAAUGUAUAGGAUCAUGCACUUUUAACAAAUGGUUGCAGAGAUAUUAGGGUUUAAAGGUUUAUUAAUGACGUCAUCAACCCGUCCAUUCCGAAACGAAUUCGGGGAUCCGGGUUUAGGAAAAUUACCCAAAUUGAUCCUAGGUGGUCCCUAGUUAUCCACGCGGUGAAAAAACAUUGACGUCACCACCUCGUUUCCAAAGUUAUUUGGCCUCAAAGUUUUAAGUGCAUUGUAAUGGCUUCACUAAUCUUAAUUAACUUUCCUUUGACGUCAAUACUAUUUUAUCGUUGAAGUUUGGUAAAUUACAGAACAGUUUUAUAGGCGAUGUUUUAUAGAAUUUGUUAAAGAAAAUUUUGAAGAAUGUAAUCCACUUUGCAAAAGUGACAGACAGACACACGGAAUUAGCGUAUUAUUAUAUAGAUUAUGAUGUAACAAGCUAGUUAGCUACCUACAAAAUCUUUCAAAGACUGGAACUUUUGCAGGAUAGUAGGAUGCAUUUUUAUGCUCAUAAGAGUAUAAUUAUUUUCACAUUUCCUGUAAAUUUUACAAGGGGACCGCGUGCAAUAUGACAAGUGGAAUAAUUUUUUUCAGAAUUUAAAGAGUGUGUGUUAAA